ACUCAUCUCAGUGUUGCCUGGACUGUCCACAUCCCCUUCAGGGACUGGGGUCAAGCCUCCUUGGCUGAGAUAUGGCCAUGGUCCAGAGGUGGUGCUUUCUCUCUGCAAAGGGGCCACUCUCAGCCCUGCGCAGUCAUGGUCGGACUUGCUUGUAGUUCUCUUGAGGCACUUCCCUAUGAGGAGGGGAGGGGAGGGGGAGGCAAAGGAGGACGGAGAAGAGGGAGAAAUGGGCAAGGAGGAGAUGGCGGAGCUGGUGGUGGCUCUGGCGCUGACAGCGGCGGUGCUGGUGGUUUUGGCGUUGACGGAGGCAGUGGCAGUGUGGUCGGCCUCUCUUUCCUGCUGGCUGAGUGUCCAGAUCCUCUGCUCCAGCGAAGCCAAAUGUGCUGCCCCAGGAUUCCUCGUGGGCUCAGGUCCGAAGCUCCCUAGCACUUGUCCCCUCUGUCCCCAUUUGGCUCCAGCCAUAUACUGCUGGUCAAUGGUCUGACCUUCCUGAGCUGAGCCACGGGGGUGCAGGGGGUGCCUCCCUGCCAGAGGGCAGGGACUGCAACUCAGGAGCUACUUUUUCGGGCCCUUGAGACCUGCUCAGAAGCCAACUGGUGGGAUGAAUGUUGGCCCUGGGUCACAGCCCGGCUGGACCGCAUGGCAGUCCACUCACCAUCGGUUUAAGCAUUAUGACUGUUCUACCAGGCCCCCUGCCAGGGCCCUGGGGAUGUGUGAGAAAUGGGAGGAAGAAUCACAGGCCUGGAGCGGCACCUCCGGGGCUCCAGGGACCUGCACAGACUUCCUCCAUCUCCUGUCUACAUGCCUUUCUGGAAAGAAACCUGGCAUCCUAAAACCAGCAGAAGAACGGGACCAGCCCAGGUUAGUUCAUCCCAACAUGCAUCUGCCUCAGGAGCCCAGCAGGCCAGCUUUGCUUCUGGGCCUCCCAUCGCCCCCGAGUGCCCGACAGGCAGGGGACAGGUGGCUUCCUGGGACCCGAGCUGGCUCCCCCACCCUCCCAUCACACGGGCCCAAGGUGACGGGAAGCCCCCAGCCAGACAGCAUCCCGACAUUCACCCCUCCUCAGAUUAGUAGCACAUCCAUCGCUGUUUUUGUUAAGACAAGAAACAUUUAUUGAGAGCACAAUGGGCCGUGCCAAGCCCCGCCCCCGCCACCGGGGGAGGGUGCUUUCCGACCCUGGCACAGGCUCCUCACAACAGCCCUGUGAGGUAGGUGUCUGAGCCCAUUUCUCAGAUGUGGACAGCAAGGCCCAGCGCUCCCCCAAGUCUCAGGGUUCAUGAGGGGCGGGGAGGGGGUCCGGCCCGCGUGUCUGACACUCAGAUCAGUGAAGUCCAUCAGUCAGAGGGAGAGGAGGCAGGGAGGACACGCCCCUCUGCACAAGGGGGUCGGCCCCGGUCCAGAGUCUUUAGGUCCAGCCUGUCCCGUGGGAAGGUGUGCAGGCGUCCCCUGUGGCUGUGGAGGCUGAGAGAGACAGGCGCAGAUGAAGGCCAUCACUCCCGGGCUCACAGGCCGACAAGAGUUCUUAAGCACACAGGCAGACAGGAGGCGAGGGGCAGACACAUUGAGGAGAAGGGAUGCUCGGGGCCUGGACCACACAGGGACAGGGGAGCACCCAGCCACAAGCUCUUGCCCUCCACCUGGCACCCUUCACAUCACCCCUUCCCUGGUCUCCUCCUCCUGUAAGUUCCAGAAGCAUCACAUGCUCCUGCACCAGUAACUCCAAUGGUCCUCACCUAACCAACCAAAAUCUAGAUCUCUUGGCCUUGGGAGAAACCACCCCAGCUCUCCUGUCCAAGCCGUUACCAAUUAGACCAGGGCAUUUUCUAAACUACCAGCUUCCUCCCCAUCUGAAAGAGGAAGUGUCAGUCACUCAGUCGUGUCUGACUCUUUGCAAACUCAUGGACUGUAGCUUGCCAGGUUCCUCUGUCCAUAGGAUUCUCCAGGCAAGAAUACUGGAGUGGAUUGCCACGCUCUUCUCCAGGGGAUCUUCCCGACCCAGGGAUCAAGCCCGGUUCUCCUGCAUUGCAGGCAGAUUCAUUACCAUCUGAGACCCCUGGGAACCUACUCCUCCUUUGGGGGUUUCUGAAAAUUCUCCCUGAUUCUGCCUACCUGGACCUCAAUCCCCUCCCCUCUGAACCUGUUACAUCUCUCCAUUGAAGAGCAAAGCUUCCUGUCCCUCACUGCGUCCCCUAGGCUGGCCGGUGCUCCCCUGACACCCUCCACCCCGCCCGGCAGUUUCUGGGGCCACCAUAGUUCCAGAAAGCACAGGGUUUCUGUGAUCAGGACCCACAGGCGGCAGGGCGCUGUGGCCAACCUCAAACCGGAGGCCAGGUAACAAAGCACUGAUUUUCACAUAAACAACCUCCUCGAACCCGACAAUAACCACGCCAGGCAGACGUGACUAUUUUCAGAUUACAGGUGAACAAACCCAUCCAGGCCACACACACAUAGGUGCUUAGAUAGCUUUGAAUGUCAGACCUUGAUUCUUGGGACCAGUGUACGGGGCCCAUCGAGACAGGUUAGCCAGCAGCCCCUGAGCAGACACUGCCGUUAUGUACCCAUUCUACAGAGACGGGACCAGGCUUGGGGUGGUUCAAGUAACCCCUCAGGGCCACUGCACUGGCAAAUGGUGCUGCCACCACCAGAACUCCAGAGGGUAAGAUGACCAUGCCCCCCGAGCCCCAGUGUGGGGAGACAAGAGAGAAUGGAAGAAAGGAAUCAAGGUCUAGGAUCCAAUCCCCACUCAUUUGCUGGGUGACCAGGCGGCAUCUCAGACCAGGCAUGUACCUUACAGGCGAAGGCGGAUGGUCACCAAUGGUAAGGAUAAAGACUUCUCAGGUCAAAGACCUCCCCUCCCCCAGAGUGAGGGCUCCUGAGACCCAGAGUGGGCAAGGGCGUGGCCAGAACACCUCUGCCACCGGGGACCUGCCAAACGCCACAUUAGCAACGCCGCCUGGACCACCUUCUGCGUAACACAAGGAACCGAAUUCAAUACUCUGUGAUAACAUAUAGGGGGAAAGAAUAUGAAAACAGACUAUAUAUGUAACACCAAGUCACGUGGCUGUACAGAAGAAAAUAACACAGUAUCAACCAUGUGCCAACAACAUUUUUUAAAAAUCACUUGGACCACAACACAUAGGAGUACAUUUUUUUAGCCCAAAUAAAGUUUUAUUCUAGAUAUAAACAUUUCCAGAAACAGUCACAAGACAGCUAUUUGCAUCCAGAAGUUUCCCCAGGGUGAGCCCCCACUUCAGACAGAGACCCUCAGGGUCUGCCCUGGAGAGUCUUUGCCAAGGAACACCCUCUUUCCUCUUACAGAUGCAUGCAUAGUCAAUGUGUCCAUCGGCCAACAAUCAAUUCAGCUUUUCACAUCCACUAAAACCCCGCUUGCCCAUCAGUGACCAUCUAUUAAGCGCCUACUACACAGGCAGCAGGACCAUCAGGGUCAGAGAAGCCUAAGUUUCAGAGUCAGGGACAGGGGUCUGAGAACCCUGACCCUGACUCGAAACCCUAACCCUCACUGAGAACCCUGACUCUGAAUUGAAACCCUAACCCUCACUGAGCCUCAGCUUUCUCCCCGCCCUCUGGAGACGGGGACCCAGGCCUGCCCUGCUCAGGAGGACAAGGCCCUGAAAACACUCCUCACCCCUGGGCACACAGGCCUGAGGACUGUCCAGGAGCAGACACCUACACACAGACUCACAGUCCCCUGGGAGGAGGGCCCUAGCCACCUGUCUCUACGUGGGGAUCCCCUCGGGAGCUUCCAAAAAGUUCUCAAGGACACAGGGUGGCCACGUGUGGACACAGCCCACUGAGGCUGUGAAAGCCAGAGGCCAAAUGAGGGGGCCAGGGAGGUUUCUGCAGGGGGAGGGGCCAGAGGAGACCCCCGACUCCAGCCCACCUGGAAUGGAAUCUGGGGGUGUUCUGCAGAACCCUGCUGUCCGCAUGUGAGACAAGGGCCAAGAAAGGAAUUCCAUGGACUUGUGGAGACCCCUGGAUCCACAAUGACACCAAGGGGAGGUCUCCUGAGCAGGAAGAGGGGCAAUAUCUAAUUCGGCCAAGUUUCCAGGUCCCACUGAAGCUCCACGGGGGCACUGCUAGGCACGUGGUGGGGACAGGGACACAUUGGGGCACAUUUGGGCUGGCAGAGACCAGCCGCGGAACCGGGAGGGUUUGCUUUGACUGAGUUUGGGAGAGCACCCUCUGGCUUUUCAUGGAAGACUGUUCAAUCCUGGCUUGGACACAACUCGCUGGUCUGUUAAAUGGGCCCGCAUGCCAAUUGAGCAGGAGCCUUUCCCCUAAAGGGCAGAAGAGGGCGUUUUAGUCCCUAAGAUGUUACCCAGAAACCCCUCGUUGGGCUCUGUCUACACUGUCCUUGCUCCUCCCCACUAACAAAUACCCUCGGGGGACUCACAAAAGUCACUCCACAGACCUGGCAGGAACAGUCACCUGCGCGUGACAAACAGCCAUCCAGGGUGGGAGGGCGGGCAGAGGAAAGGAGCCUCUGAGGAAGGAGAGGAGCCAUCACUCAUUAACUGAGCCAAUAUUUACUCUGGACCUGCAUCACUGAACACUCUCAGGCCACUUGACCUCUGUCUCACAUGUCCCAGUGACUGUCGGAAAUACAAUCUUAUUAUAAGGUCAAGACCAACUUUUUAUUCAUUUAGAACUAGCAAAAGCUUCCCUGCUCCCUUCCAGACAGCACCCAACACAUGAUCACUUUCAGUGACAGCCAGCAUUUAAUGAACGCUGUUAGAGUUCACCCAACCUGAGCUCUCACAACAACCCUGUGAGGUAAGCUUUCCGGUGACCCACGGCUUAGAAAAAAGGAGACCAAAAGAAGACCGACGGUCAGAGCGCAGUGCCUUGACCGACGGUGCACGGUUAGUUACACGUUAGCCAGAUUCUCAUUUCUAACACAGAACAUCGACUCGUUCAUUGGACAGCGGAAGUGCCACCAAGUGACAUCUGAAACCAGAGUCCUGGUUUUCGAACAACAUAUAUCAUACAAAGGUCCGUAAGAUACAGUUAACUGGUUAACAGGUUAAUCAGGAGCGGAGGACAGUCUCUUAGUCAAGGUUACAAACGAUCGCUGCUUACACUGGGUUACAGUUGUGUUAUUCGACCAUCUACUCAUCCAUCCUUCCGACAGGAAUGGAAGGUGACCCCUACCACUGGCCUGGUACUGUGUUAGGCACCCAGGCGGCUGAAAUUUGAGCCCAAAUGUCGAGAAGGGGAAGAGGGGACAUUGGGCGGUGGGGGGUGGGGAGGAUACUGCUGGGAGGGGUCUCUUAUGGAGGGUAAGUGCCGCCCACAGGCCAGACACAGUGGUAGGCAAGAUACAACCUAUUCCAGAGGUGGGUGUGAACGCGUACCCCAGGGGUCCAGGACAGUGCCCAGAGCGAUCCCCAUUCCCCAGCCUAACCCUAACCCCCAAAUUACUCCUACCUACCUUUCGAAUGCCAUACGAAUUCAGCAUUCGGUCCCAUAAUACCCACUGUGUGCUUGCUAGAAAGAUUGCCCACUAAGCUGCCCCAAUCAGGCUGCCCCUCAUGGCCGGUCACCCCACCACCCGCCGCCUACUCCCGGGGGCACGCGCACCACCCUACAGGAUCACAGUUCAAAACCCUGGUUACAGCAGAUCCUCACAACAGCCCUGCGAGGUGGGUGCCAUGCUCUGCCCAGCAGGCAGAACUUGGCUGUGCCCAUGAGUUUAAACCACAUGCUUGUCCAGCUCCAGGGUCCUGGCUUUGUCCAUUAUACCUACUGUCUAAGGCAGUAAGUCAAACGCAGAAUUCCCAGGAGAGCCCCCGAGAUCUAAGGUGGGAAGCCCUGCCUGGCUGGGAACCUGGAUCGCGGAUGCAUCCCGGGUUUGCCAAGUGCCAGGCGGCCUGGAUGCCCAGUUGUCCCAACAGAUUGUUCUAUGCAGACCUCACAGGGGGGUAUGACCCUCACCAUCCAAACCAGCAAUUAUCUCCCCCAAUUUUCUCUCAAUAGAGCCCAGAAUGAACCAAUCUCCAAGGGACAGGAAGGACUCUGAAACUCGCCCUUUGUGCAAGAUGAGGGUGUCCUAAUGACUCGAAAUCCUGCUCAUGGCCAGAAUCGGCUGUUUGUCUCAGACUCCCCCCCCACUCCAGCUAUCAUUCUGGCCUCUUGAGACUCUGGGCUAUGAUUUCUGAGCACCCAGGGAACACAGCUUGCUGAUUACUAAUCAACCCACUUUGCGGAGGAACGAAGUUGGAGAGGGCAAUCAAAAUUUCGACAGAACUCUGGCAGAGGGGUGGGCACGCCGAAUCAAGGAUCCCGCCUUGUGGCUAGCCCCCAGCAAACACGCUCAUCUUUUCUUUCGAGAGGGGGUGUCAGAAUGCAACCUUGUGACCCAGCUCUAGUAUAGCACCAGCUGACCUUUUCAAAUGUUUGCGGGCUGGGAGUGGAGUGAAUGGAGGGAUGGAAGGAUGAGUUACAACCGCUGUCAUCUGGUAGAGGAAGCGGAGAGGCUGAGGGCAAAGCUCAUGGCAGGGACCAUGCACCAGGCAAGGUGGCCUGGGGGUGGGGGGCACAUCUCCACUCACGGGUGGGGACGGGGGACACCCUGGGCCCCUGGGCCCUGGAUCCCUCGCAGUGUGUGAUGCAUGGGAACGCGCCAUGGGGAAGGAAGCCGUGUGGGUGAUGUGGCAGAUGACAUCCAGCUGGGACAUGCUCAGAGCAGUGACCCCGGAGGAAGAAGCCACAAGUAAGGGCGUUCACUUCAUAACCACAGCCCAUGGCGCUACACAGCCUGCCCACAAGGAAAAGGUUUGCUUUCAGGAAAGGGAAAGGCCAAAGCACCAGGUCAAGAGGCCAAAUGCAAUGGAUGGACGGAUGGAUGGAUGGAUGGAUGGAUGGAUCCAAGUAAUGUUGGGAAUCGUCACUGGCCUCCCAAACAUGUGGGUGAGAAAUUCUGACACAGGCAAACAGCGCUCAGUGCUAUAGUAGACGGUCUAUAGUAUAGUAGACGGGUCUUCCCUCGACUGCAAGCAGAAGGUAUUCUGGAAAGCAGGGCCGAGCCUUCUUGGGUCACAUGCCCUUCCCGAAUGGCCAUGAUGACUUCUGAGACCUGGCUACCCCUGGGGUGAACCAUGAGGGAAGCCCAAGGAGAAUAUGGGGCCCAUUCUACUCCUUGGCUUGUGGAAUUGAGUUGCCCCAUUUCUGAAGGCAGAUUCACUAUCUGACCUAAUCUGACAUAUUUAAUUAAACCCCAAAGACCACCAUGGAGGCCAACGGGACAGUGGCUCACACAUCAGAGGGCACUAGGAACAUGAAGGGCAGCAGACUGCCUCAGCUGAUUGCCCUGAGAGGUGGCAAGUGGUGAUCCAAGGGGUUGUCUUCCUCAAAGUGAAAUGGGGGUGGGGGGUGGAGGCAGGAAGGCCACCAUGUGACUAUUCAAGAUGGCGGCACAGUUGUCUGGACCUUGGAGGGUCAAAGAGAUUCCUGUACCACAAGAGUUACAGAGGGUGAUUUGAGAGUUUAUAAAUCAUAAAUGCACAAACCCACCCAGGAGAAGACACCUUAAAUGUCACUGGGCUGCCAAAGGGAGAAUAUCAUCCCAAUGCACAUUUUCCAGGAAGAGUCAAAGAGACCUGAAGCGUCAUCUAGGCCAACCCCACUCCUACUGAUUGAAUCUCCUUGAAGCUACCCUCAUCGAGUAUCUGUCUGUCCUGUCCCUUGAAUGACUCCAGGGAUGAAGGGCUCACUACAUCCCAAGGACCCUCAUUCCAUCCUUGGCCAGUCUUAUCACAAAGCCAUGAUCCAGCGGACUUGGACAAACAGUUCACAGAAGAUGCAAUUUUUUUUAACAAACACAGUAAAAAGUUCAACCGUCAUUCGUCAUCAAAGCAGUGCAAGUUAAAAUGACAGAAAAACACUUUUUAACAGAGAUAAAUUAGAAACAACUUAACAAAAUGCUAAUACAUCACUGGACAUCAUAAAAUGCUACAAGCCUUCUGAAAUUAGUAGUCAUACAAAAAUUCCUGGCCUUUUCUCAAGAAACUCAACACAGAAAAUUCAUUUGUUCAUUCACCACUCCAUGUACUCAUCCAUUCUCCCAUCCUCUCUUCCAACAGCCAACCAGGCACUCACUCACAUCUUCAUCCACCCUUCUAUCCUCUCAUCUAACAUUUAGUAUCUACAACAUUACAAGCAUUAGAGAUACAAGCUCUUUGCCCUCAAGGGUUCACAGCCUAGCAGGAGAAAUUGACAUACCACAAAGCAAAGAUCACUUCUAGGUGUGGGAAAAUAAUUCAUAAGAAUGAAAAAAAGGGGGGUGUGCUAAGUUAUUAGCUGUGGCAUAAUUUGUAACAUUAAAAAAGAUGAAUUUUGCAUAGCAAGAGUAAUAAUAGUAGGUUGAUGUGGUGAAUGACUGACACAGCCACUCAAUGAGACACAAGGCAGCCAGGGAGGUGAUGAAGUGUAUGGACGAAAGAAAAAUGUUGACAGCGGAAUAUGGAAAAGGUGGGAUGCAAAAAUUAAAAAAAAAAAAAAAGUGUAUGUGGUGAAGAAUAGCAACUGGGUUUAAAAAAAUGGGUGCUCGUUUUAAAAAAUUAGAUGUCCAUUAAAAAAAUAGUGUGCAGAAUAAACAGAAUCUGAAGGGGAGAAAUAAAGAUGAUUGAUAUGUCAAAUGAUGCGUGAUCUGCUCCAGCUCAUGUGCUAUCCACACCAUUUACAGUAAGAUCACAACAGGGCCUCUGGCCCAUCUGCCCCAGACGCCCAGCCUCUGCCCUCCAUCCUCUGGCAGGCCAGCCCCAAGGCCAACCUCCCUGAGUUGGGAGUCAUACAGAAAUCCAAGGAGACUUGUAGCUCCUGGUACCAUCAAGGGAAGGAUUUGUGCAAGGGGUGCAUGCAAAGGUCAAAGUCAACAGACAAAAUUUGUUCUUUCUUUGAAAAGGGAAAAGAAGCACGCACUUGAGACAGGCCGUGAUCAGAGAGGAGCGCUGAAACCCAACCUUGGACCUCGUGGGUCGGGCACGGACAGAACCAGAUGGGGGCCCAUGUGGAACUUCCACCCCUGGCUUCUGCAGCCCUGGCAGUCCUGGGCUGAAACCCAGCAUCCCAGAACUGGAGACCUUCAGAAACCCUGACCCAGGGACCCUCAGGUCCCCAGCAUUCCUAGGACAGAACUCACCCGAUCCCAACCCACCCUCCCCCCGGGACAUUCCCCCACUGGCCUAUUUCCACCCACAUGACCCUGGACAGCCCCUUGGUCCCCGGGAGGAGGCCCCUCUCCUUAGGGGUCUGCUUCUGUUCCUGCCCAUCUCCUCUGCGAACUGGGCUGUGAUCCCCUCCCAUUCUACACCUAACACUUUCUCUGUCUUCUAACCCUCAGCUGCCUUUUAAAACAACCACACUCGGGUUCUUCAAAAAGACCCUCCCAGGCUCUUCCUGCCCCAAGCUCCUCCAACCCCCACUCCGGCCCAUGCGAUGACGCCUGGGGUGGUUGGGGGGCUCUUUGGGGACCCUUCCCUGAGUACCUGUCUUUGGGGUUAAGAAGUGCGCCACCCCCCACCCCAGGCUUCAGGCAGAACCCGGGCCCCCAGAUUCCAAAAGAGAAGACAGCAGAGCCCUGAAGCCCCAGAGCCACCUCAGGCCCACAAAGCUCUGCUCACAUGGCCCGGACACAUGGCACUGGAGGCAGGGAAGGGUAGCUCCUGACACAUGACUCUGCUUCCUCCGUCUCCUAAAGGCCGCCUGCGUCCACUCAGGGCCCGCGCUAAGAGCGCAGAGGUUGCCCCUGGGCCCCCUGGCUCCCUCCCUACCCCCUGUCUGUAGCCGUGGCUUCUGCUUCUCCGCCUCCCUGCCACCCGACAUCUGAGCACCCUGGGGCAUCGCUGGGCUGGACUAGAAC
Molecule: long non-coding RNA, 9880 nt
Organism: Bos taurus (domestic cattle)
Lineage: Eukaryota; Metazoa; Chordata; Mammalia; Artiodactyla; Bovidae
Source: Ensembl